CCUCUAAAAGUGCAAUACCCAAGCUUAUAUCGAAUAGUUAGACAUAAGUUUGUCACGAUUAAGCAGGUAUUGGGACAAGUAAACCCGGAUAUUUCUUUUCGCAGAACGAUUUCUGGACCUCGUUUGAAUGCAUGGAACGAUCUGCUGACUCGUUUGGAAGCUGUCCAACUGUCGGCUGAAUUGGACAUCUUUAAAUGGAACCUGCAUCUGAACGGAAGAUUUUCGGUUAAAUCCAUGUACGAUGCACUAGUUCAUAACGAGGUUCCAUCUGAUAAUAGAAAAUUGUGGAAGCUUAAGAUUCCUCUAAGAGUGAAGAUUUUCCUUUGGUUUCUCAACAAAGGUGUUAUCUUAACUAGGGAUAAUUUAGCCCGACGAAGCUGGCAAGGCAGCAAAAAAUGUGUUUUUUGCAAUCAUAAUGAAUCCAUUAAACACCUAUUUUUUGAUUGCAAAUUCGCUAGAUCGGUAUGGGCAAUGGUCCAAAUUGCUUCGAAUCUAUACCCUCCACGCAGCAUACGGAAUAUGUUCGGGAAUUGGCUGAGGGGAAUAAAUAAACAAUUUUCUAAGCACAUUCUUGCGGGGGCGGCUGCCUUAUGUUGGGUGUUGUGGCUAACCAGGAAUGAUAUUGUUUUUGAUCAUGAAAGUGUUUCAUCUCCUAUGCAGGUAAUUCAUAUAUGCUCGCGAUGGCUCCGUAUGUGGUCUAUCCUGCAGAGGCCGGAGGAUAGAGACUUUUUUAUGAUGGCUUCUACCCGGUUGGAGUGCUCGGCCAGGGACAUUUUCUACCCCCAUGGAUGGCGGUGUGACCUUCGGAUAGGCCCGGCAUCACCUUAG
Molecule: ribosomal RNA, 828 nt
Filed under: Triticum aestivum (bread wheat)
Lineage: Eukaryota; Viridiplantae; Streptophyta; Magnoliopsida; Poales; Poaceae
Description: partial small subunit ribosomal RNA
Source: RNAcentral